RNAcentral lists this ribosomal RNA (294 nucleotides) under uncultured bacterium. Its description in RNAcentral is "partial 16S ribosomal RNA". It matches the Rfam family "Bacterial small subunit ribosomal RNA", at positions 775 to 1067 of the family's 1533-position model. The record is from RNAcentral.
GGAUUAGAUACCCUGGUAGUCCACGCCGUAAACGAUGUCAACUAGCCGUUGGAUUCAUUUAAGAAUUUAGUGGCGCAGCUAACGCAAUAAGUUGACCGCCUGGGGAGUACGGCCGCAAGGUUAAAACUCAAAGGAAUUGACGGGGGCCCGCACAAGCGGUGGAGCAUGUGGUUUAAUUCGAUGCAACGCGAAGAACCUUACCAGCCCUUGACAUCCAGAGAACUUUCUAGAGAUAGAUUGGUGCCUUCGGGAACUCUGUGACAGGUGCUGCAUGGCUGUCGUCAGCUCGUGCCG